CAAUGCUCUUCCAACUGAGCUACGCGGUCAGGACGGUUCGAGUAAGCGAUAUUUCGGAACUGAGUCUAGUUCCUUCGAUAUCAGUGUAAUCUAAUAUUUAUGAAAUCUGCUGUGUUAUUGGUGUAAUGUACUCAGGUGAAUAAGAUGUUUGUGUGAUGUUACUCUGAGUGUAUAUCCACACCGGGCAGGCUUGAAAAAUAUGCCUGGCCACGGCGGGAUUCGAACCUACGACCUUUGGAAUACUAGCCCAAUGCUCUUCCAACUGAGCUACGCGGUCAGGACGGUUCGAGUAAGCGAUAUUUCGGAACUGAGUCUAGUUCCUUCGAUAUCAGUGUAAUCUAAUAUUUAUGAAAUCUGCUGCGUUGGUGUAAUGUACUCAGGUGAAUAAGAUGUUUGUGUGAUGUUACUCUGAGUGUAUAUCCACACCGGGCAGGCCUGAAAAAUAUGCCUGGCCACGGCGGGAUUCGAACCUACGACCUUUGGAAUACUAGCCCAAUGCUCUUCCAACUGAGCUACGCGGUCAGGACGGUUCGAGUAAGCGAUAUUUCGG
This is a non-coding RNA of Paramuricea clavata, 550 nucleotides long. NCBI's taxonomy places the organism in Eukaryota, Metazoa, Cnidaria, Anthozoa, Malacalcyonacea, Plexauridae. The record is from the annotation of a GenBank genome assembly.